Molecule: long non-coding RNA, 371 nt
Organism: Sinocyclocheilus grahami
Lineage: Eukaryota; Metazoa; Chordata; Actinopteri; Cypriniformes; Cyprinidae
Exons: 3
Source: RefSeq, a predicted model, not a curated record
AGCGUUUAGCGUCUGUGGGACUUGAUGCCAAAAACACGGUGUGCGUGUGGGACUGGAAAAAGGGGCGUGUCUUAGCCACCGCCACGGGACAUUCUGAUAGGAUCUUUGAUAUUUCCUGGGACCCGUUUCUGCAGCACAGGCUGGUGAGCUGCGGAGUCAAGCACAUUAAAUUUUGGGCGUUAUGUGGCAAUGCGUUGACGCCAAAACGAGGGAUUUUCGGAAAGACGGGAGACUUGCAAACCAUCCUGUGCUUGGCGACGGCAAAAGAUGAAGUGACGUAUUCGGGAGCUCUUAAUGGAGAUAUUUACGUGUGGAAGGGACUCAACCUGACACGAACGAUACAGUCGGCACACGGAGUGAGUGAAGCUCAU